RNAcentral lists this ribosomal RNA (252 nucleotides) under uncultured bacterium. RNAcentral describes it as "partial 16S ribosomal RNA". It matches the Rfam family "Bacterial small subunit ribosomal RNA", at positions 524 to 775 of the family's 1533-position model. The record is from RNAcentral.
UACGGAGGAUCCGAGCGUUAUCCGGAUUUAUUGGGUUUAAAGGGUGCGUAGGCGGCUCUAUAAGUCAGUGGUGAAAGGUACCCGCUUAACGGGGACACUGCCAUUGAUACUGUGGAGCUGGAGUACAGAUGAAGUGGGCGGAAUGUGUCAAGUAGCGGUGAAAUGCAUAGAUAUGACACAGAACACCAAUUGCGAAGGCAGCUCACUAAAGUGUCACUGACGCUGAGGCACGAAAGCGUGGGGAUCGAACAG